RNAcentral lists this unclassified non-coding RNA (2242 nucleotides) under Haliotis rufescens (red abalone). RNAcentral's name for it is "uncharacterized LOC125371954, transcript variant X3". Lineage: Eukaryota; Metazoa; Mollusca; Gastropoda; Lepetellida; Haliotidae. The record is from RNAcentral.
GUGCGCGCGCCCGUUCGCCCAGCUUGUGGAGGCUAUUUAUAUUCUGCAGUUCUCGUCUGCUUCCACUGAGCGACGCCGGAUUCAUCGAGUUUGCCACGGCGAGUAAGCAAGUUGAAGAGGAAACCCGCUUUAUACAAGAUGAAGACCUUGUCGACGCUGGUGGUGCUGGUGGUCGUCCUUGCGGCUGCAACGUCUGCUUCGCGCAAAUGCAAGUAUAACAGGCAGGAUAAAUGGUCCGAAUGUGAAAACGGCAAACAGACCGCGACCAAGAUCAUAAAGGAAGGAUCAGACAAGACGUGUCCUCAGAAAAAGGUCAAGACCAGAAUCUGUGUUGCAGGAGAGAAAUGCAAGUACGAGAAAAAUGACUGGAGUGAAUGUAAUGAAGCGACCAGUCUGCAAACCCGCACCAUGAACCUCAAGACUGGCAGUGCGCGAUGCGCACCCGUAAAGACUAUAACGCGCAAAUGCAAAAAAGCUUGCAAGUACCAGAAAGGAAACUGGAGUGAGUGUGAUCCCGCGACGAAGAAGAUGACUCGCACGCUAACCCUCACCCAGGGCAGCGACCAGUGUCCACCGAACAAAACCCGGUUGAGGCGAUGCAGGAAAGGGAAGUCGAGGAAAAAAGGAUCCACACGGAGAACUAAGCGCAGGCGUUCAAGACAUGUAAAUCAUAAAGCUAGGGGACCAAGUACAAUGGCAACUCUCAGAGGGCCCACUAUUCACCCGAAGCUUCAAUCCAGCCUCUUCAGUUCGUCUCUUAGCCCUUCAAAUGCUGCCGAUUCAUCAGAACAUAACCUGAGAACAAUGCCGAGGGAUAAAACUGUUCGGAAACAUAAACUCCCAAAAGAUAAACAAAAUAAAAAAAGAGAUAAAAAAUUGCGAAAACGAAAACAUUUGACGGAUCAGUCUAUAGACCAACCUGCUCAAUUUCUGGAUCCUUCUUUCCAGUCAACAGUGUCGGUUGAACCUGUUUUGCUGCCCUCUCACAGACCAUCCACUCAUACAACUGACAAAACCAUUCUGUCAGCAUCCUCAAUACAUCCCAAGCCAAAACACUCCCGAACUCAGCAUACUCGGCAAUAUACUCAUGCCAAAGAUUCACCCUUCAUAAAUGCCAUGUCUACAACCAUAUCACCCAAGCAGGUGAUAAGUGGACGGUUUUCAAAGACCCCAACUCACACUUUGCCUGAUAGACGCGGUAUCAAUAAACAAAGAAAGAUCCCUUCAAAACAGCCUGCAGUCAGUACUGUGUCUUCUGAAACUUUCUAUGAUACCACUAUGGGACAAAGUAAUGGAAUCAUGAAUUAUCUUACCUCUCUCUUCAAAAGGGCCAAUAAAGUGUCAACAGAAGCCCCUGUUGCCACUUCCACCAGUGGGAGUAGUUCCUGGUGGCACUGGCGGUAAAGGCUAAAGUGGGACACCAUCUUAAGUUCAUACACCUGAACCUGAUGAAACGUACCUGUAUUUGUACCAUUUAUCCUACAACUUUUCACAACACUUGCGGAAUUUUCUUUUGGAGGUACAUAAAAUACUCAGUUUUGAUAUUUAGAAAGAUGAGCAUUUAUGUAUACCAUACAUAGUUUAGAUGAUAUGUAAAGCCCACUUAGUAAAUAGUUAUUGCAAGUUUUAUUUGGGGAGUCAAAACCUGUCGAAUGGGUAGCGGCUGGCUAGUGACACUCUCUGUCAAAUGGGUUCGACAGUAGCAUUGAGAGCUUUAAAAGGUCACUGUGACAAGUUGAUACCAGAAUUCUGUAAAAGUGGUUUGAUAGAAGUUAACAAACAAAUAAACAUGUCAAAGCUAUGUAAGCAUGGCCAAAUCAUGCAUUCUCAGCCUCAAUAUUGGCCAGUAAUGUCAUAAAUUACAUGGAGGAAGAAUGUACAAAUAUAUCUCAGUCAUUGUCAGCUAGCAUUGCCACUGGUCUGUCUGUAUCUCCGCUAAAGCACAUCAGAAUGUGAAGACCAGUGCUAUGAUUAUCCAGUUAUCUCAAUAUAAAUUCUAUGUUUGGCGUAUGUCAUGGCUAGGUUCUUUAAUCUGGUUUGGUAUCUAUUUCCUAAAUCCGAAGGUAAUGAUAUCAGACUGGAAAUAUAUGGUGGUUUUAAUGAUUUCUGGGGGAUAACGGGUGGCCCAGUCGUCUAAGGCGCCGCAAUUCGCUGUGCAGAGUUGUGUCCCUUGGACGCGCCAGAAACCUAUGAUUGUGGGUUCGCCCCUAUCAUGUUUCUAGGUUUGUCAGCACCAUACCCG